This 254-nucleotide ribosomal RNA is filed under the name uncultured bacterium. RNAcentral's name for it is "partial 16S ribosomal RNA". It matches the Rfam family "Bacterial small subunit ribosomal RNA", at positions 524 to 776 of the family's 1533-position model. The record is from RNAcentral.
UACGUAGGGUGCGAUCGUUGUCCGGAAUUAUUGGGCGUAAAGAGCUCGUAGGCGGUCUGUCGCGUCGGUCGUGAAAACUUGGGGCUUAACCCUGAGCUUGCGGUCGAUACGGGCAUGACUGGAGUUCGGCAGGGGAGACUGGAAUUCCUGGUGUAGCGGUGAAAUGCGCAGAUAUCAGGAGGAACACCGGUGGCGAAGGCGGGUCUCUGGGCCGAUACUGACGCUGAGGAGCGAAAGCGUGGGGAGCGAACAGG